This is a long non-coding RNA of Gavialis gangeticus (Gharial), 2503 nucleotides long. RefSeq lists it as uncharacterized. NCBI's taxonomy places the organism in Eukaryota, Metazoa, Chordata, Crocodylia, Gavialidae. The record is from RefSeq and is a predicted model, not a curated record. The transcript has 2 exons.
CUGACCCCUGUGCCCCCUGCCAUCCAGGGGCUGCUCCGCCCCAGCUCAAACUGCUGCCGUCCCAGCGAAGCAAAUAUAUUUGGCUUUGCAGAGGGUGUGUAUGUAUUAAGGGACUCCUCCUAGUGAGGAAGACAGUAAUUGUAUUUUCAUCUGUUUAAUCUGAGAAGUAUUGACUGCUAAUCUAGACAGCAGUAGCAGAAGGAACUCUGCUUACUAGUUUAUUGUAUUAACAAUGUCUUCAUGAUAAGCCUCAUCUCCAAAAAGUACUUUGGACAGGCCUCAUAGUUUGUCACCAUUCUGGAGGACUCUUCAGCAGUUAUACUGUUUGGGAAGCUUCCUCUUUUUUUAUUUUUUCCUUAUGAACUCAAACCAAAGCCUUUGCACAGGAAUUCUAUGUGGCUACCUAGAACUAGACCUGCUGAAUUGCUUGUCUACUAUACAAGGAAAAUUAUUGUUAUGCUGGUUUGGGAAAUAUUGUUUUCAGGAUAUAUGUACCAUUUUUCCACUAAAUAACUAUGUGAGCAUACCAGUGGACAUACAGAUUACUCAACAUUUAAUCAAUUUCCAGAGGGGAAAGUAGGUAUGGACUUUGUGAAACAACUGUCAGGGUGAUUUUUAUCUUAAACAGUGCUCUCCGUUUGCUUUUUGUAUUAUCCUAGCUUACCAGUAAUUCAGCUGACAAGCUAAAUAGGCACAUGAAAGAGAACACAGGAGUGCUGGGUUAAUGUGCCAUUAUUUUGACCCUUUUUUCUGUGUGUGCUAUUGAAUAAUUCCAGGCUCAAUAAGAAAAAUGUUAAAUAGGACACUGUCUCAAACUAUUUGUGCAGAGCUGAGUCCAAAGAGACUUCUGUUGGCUGCAAAUUCAAGAGAGGCUUCACAGCUGUGUUGGGGAGCUUCCAACACUGAAAAUUAAAGGAAAUACUGCUCUUGAGACUUAAAGACCGUGAUUUGGAGAUGGGAUUCCAAGAAAUAAUACUCUUGUACGCAUUAACCUAAUCACUUGUUAAUCUUGUCUAACAGUGUUAAAGUUCCUCUUAGGCAGUACACAUUGUUUAUUGCUCCUUAGUUCCCCAGAAAGGUUUGUUUGUCUCAACUUUUCAGAAAUACAGACAGGUGAGUACAAAUAAGAAGUAAUACGCAUUCAAAAGGGACAGACUUUGCAUAAUUAAUUUCUUAAAGUAAUGGUCAGACAGGGUUCUUUGGGUGAAUCUGAUAUCUUUUAUUAGACCAACUAAAUAGCUGGAGAACAAUAUUUAAUCAAGCUUUAAGCAACCAUUUAAAGUAAUGGUGGUAUUUUUAGGAAGCCUUUGAAAUUAGAUUUUUGGAUUUGGCUUAAGCUAUGGGUAUAGAAAGCAAUACAUUUCCGUAAUCUUGAAGGUGAAUCCAGCUAUGAAGCAUGAAGAAGCACGUCAUUAUUAUUUUUUUCCCCUCUGUGGCCAUAUUAACUUUUAUAAGAUAAAGAUGAAAGCAAACUAAAUAGAAUCACUUUAGCAUAUCCGUCAAAGCUACUAAUAGAUUUGACUAAUGGAAAGGUGGGAAGUGAUUCAGUUUUAAAACAGAUGUCACCAUCUUCUCAGUUAAGGAAAAAUGUGUUAAAUAGCUAUAACGUUAGUGAAACCAAAAUAUUAGUCGUUUUGAAAUCAGUCUGAUUGAUUGCAUUAGAUUACAAAAGAGAAACGUCUCAAGGGGCUGAACUACUUAAAAUACAUUUAAAUACAGUGUCAGCCAUUUGAAAUUUUGGUAGCAAGGCAGGCAGCCUUCUGCUUCACUAUUUGUUCUUACCAGAGAUAGUGGGGGACACUUUAAACUGUGCCUCAGUCUGCAGCAUUACAGACUUCCCCCUCCCCCCAUUUUAAAGUGCUUUGGUUCUUAUUUCUUAUUCUUUGUGCUAAGCAGUUAAUAUUCCUUAAUUCUUUUGUAUCUAAUCCUACUUAUUCCAAUGAAGUAUGAAACCACUUUGGAUCGUAAAUUGAUUUGAUUUUUAGAGAGUCUUCACUAUGCUAAAUCAUUUUAAAUAUCUGAUUUUGAUUUUGAUUUUUUUAAAGUUUAGUAAUGUAUGCAAGUGACCUAUAAGAUAAGUGAGUAAGUAUCAUGUUACAGAUCGCAAUAUUGGGCCGUGUUGACAUUAAAUGUCUUGACUGGGAUUAAGCAACACUAUUUUUAGAGUCUGGAGCAGAUCCAAUCUGUUAUACCCUCUAGUUCUGAGCUCUGAACUGUUCUGCACACCUUAUAGUAUAAUAGUGUAUUUGAUGAUUUUAAAUACUUGCUUUCUUCCAAAAGAGUGCUAUUAGGAAUGUACUUAUGAUUUGCUUCAAAAUUAGUUGACUUUCCUAGUAGGAAAUUAUUUUUUGGUUUUCAUUUGUCAAGUCAUUGUAGACAACUCAGAAAAUCAACAGAAAAUUAACUAUAUCAAGCUGAUAUUGACUCUUUUAUUAUUAUUUUAUUUUUAAGUCUUCAGAUAGUCUUUGUUUACACCUUUGCCAAGUUGUAGCAGAGUAGAAUU